GACCUGGUGGUGUAACUGGCAACAUCCCUGCUUCUAUUACUUAUUUGACCAUGUUGAUUAGGCAGGAGCUCCCCGUUCGAUUCGGGGUCAGGUCA
Molecule: non-coding RNA, 95 nt
Organism: Mycena metata
Lineage: Eukaryota; Fungi; Basidiomycota; Agaricomycetes; Agaricales; Mycenaceae
Source: the annotation of a GenBank genome assembly